This 253-nucleotide ribosomal RNA is filed under the name uncultured bacterium. Its description in RNAcentral is "partial 16S ribosomal RNA". It matches the Rfam family "Bacterial small subunit ribosomal RNA", at positions 524 to 776 of the family's 1533-position model. The record is from RNAcentral.
UACGGAGGGGGCAAGCGUUGUCCGGAUUCAUUGGGCGUAAAGAGCGUGUAGGCGGCCAGGUAGGUCGGUUGUGAAAACUGGAGGCUCAACCUUCAGAGGUCGACCGAAACCAUCUGGCUAGAGUCCGGGAGAGGAGAGUGGAAUUCCUGGUGUAGCGGUGAAAUGCGUAGAUAUCUGGAGGAACACCGGUGGCGAAGGCGGCAUCCUGGACCGACACUGACGCUGAGGCGCGAAAGCUAGGGGAGCAAACGGG